RNAcentral lists this unclassified non-coding RNA (501 nucleotides) under Hevea brasiliensis (rubber tree). Lineage: Eukaryota; Viridiplantae; Streptophyta; Magnoliopsida; Malpighiales; Euphorbiaceae. The record is from RNAcentral.
UUUCUUGAGCUUUUGGGCAGAGGUUCACUACAAUUCAAUAUAUCCAGAAGGAGAGCUACCUCCAGAAACUAAGAAAAAGAAGAAAUGGUGGAUAAUUUGAAGCUAAAUACAUUUAGCGGCAAAUCUCUUAUGAGGAGGGAUCUGUAUUAUUCCAUGGCUUGUGCAAUUUGGUGAACUGGGAAAGGAUGAAUAGGGCAGAUGGCAUUAGAGUGCUGUACAUAUCUGAUUUAACGCCCUUCAUCCGAUUGAUUGCAUUUUUUUUUUCAGCCAACUGCUCUAAUUAUUUGUUGAUUCUUUUCUUACCCAUUUGUUUUAUCAUUAUUGUAAAUAAUAGGUCGUAGACAGAUCACUAAUGGAACAAGAAUAAUAGUUGCUUGCAUUUUUUGCAUGGCAUUUGCCAUAUUGUUUGUUCUAUUGCAUUUCUACAUUUAUCCUGCAACAUCCGUACUGGAAAAAGAAUCAACAUCAGAGGAGCCAUUCCAAGGCUUUUUAUUUUUAUUU